Molecule: transfer RNA, 83 nt
Filed under: Candidatus Annandia adelgestsuga
Lineage: Bacteria; Pseudomonadati; Pseudomonadota; Gammaproteobacteria; Enterobacterales; Enterobacteriaceae
Rfam family: tRNA
About the family: Transfer RNA (tRNA) molecules are approximately 80 nucleotides in length. Their secondary structure includes four short double-helical elements and three loops (D, anti-codon, and T loops).
Source: Rfam by way of RNAcentral
GCCCAGGUGGUGAAAUGGUAAACACAAGGGACUUAAAAUCCCUCGGUCUAACGACUUUGCGGGUUCAAAUCCCGCUCUGGGUA